This 251-nucleotide ribosomal RNA is filed under the name uncultured prokaryote. RNAcentral's name for it is "partial 16S rRNA". It matches the Rfam family "Bacterial small subunit ribosomal RNA", at positions 525 to 775 of the family's 1533-position model. The record is from RNAcentral.
ACGUAGGGUGCGAGCGUUAUCCGGAAUUACUGGGUGUAAAGCGUGCGCAGGCGGUUUUGUAAGUCAGAUGUGAAAACCCCGGGCUCAACCCGGGAACUGCAUUUGAGACUGCAAGGCUAGAGUGUGGCAGAGGGGGGUAGAAUUCCACGUGUAGCAGUGAAAUGCGUAGAGAUGUGGAGGAAUACCGAUGGCGAAGGCAGCCCCCUGGGCCAAUACUGACGCUCAUGCACGAAAGCGUGGGGAGCAAACAG